CAUAUGCGUUGCGCCGAUUAAGCUUUCUUCUCACUCUCGAACUCGUCUCUCCUUCUGUUCUCUCACUAAGGCGAACGGCGCCGGAGCGCCUCCCUUCUUCUCCGACCAAACCAAAAUCAAACACCACCGUGAACCCCAUCUGACCACCAUAAUGACCAUCCCUAUCGUCUCAACCUUUCGUCUUUCUCUGAUUAGAUUCAAUAAUUAAUCAAAAACAAGCGCAUACUCAGAAAAUGGGGGCAAUAGGACUCACCUGAAUUUGUGAACGGAGAUUGACAAUUGAUAACACCAGAGAGGAGGUUCCGAUAUGCAAUUUGGCGAAAUAAACGCUAAGAGUUCUUCAAUCCUGUUCCCAUUUCUUUUCUUCUUGCUCUAUCUACUUUUUAUGUUCCCAUUUCUUUUCUUCUUGCUCUAUCUACUUUUUCUGAAUUUUUCUAUGUGAGUGUUGAAUCGAGGAUGGUGAACGAUUGAUGAUUCUGCAGAUGCGUCGAAGCUUUGAUUAUGGUGAUGUUGGCUGAAGUGUAGAUGGAGAUGAAGAACAGUGAGGGAUAUUGAGAAAGAUUGAAGAUUGAAUAUGAAGGAGGUCCCCGAGAGAAAUGGUGGAGAUUGAAGGUUAUGUGGUGAGAAGGUUGAAGAACGAUGAAGAGAGGUUCAGAGAUGGUCAGAGAGUGAGGUGAUUCAAGAUGAAGAUGGAAUAGGCUCCAGGUGAGAGAGAGAAAAAAUGGGAGCUUUGAUUUGGAUGGAGCUUCGACUUUAUAGCAAAUGCCAGCAUAUUUUAGAACCGUGAGCCAUUGGUAUCACAUCAGUUUCGAUGCAAUUCUCAAUGCGUAGCUUGCUCGAGUUUGGGUCAUGAGGGAGGUUGAGUUUGGUUUGUUAAAGUGUGAAAUGCUGUUAGCUUUGGUUUGAGUUUAGUAUGGCUGAACUGUUUUGUGUGAUGAUGUAUUUGGUUUUUAUACUGCUGCAAAAUGGUGGUUACAGUUGCAGGGCAGAUUUUAGGUACGUGAGGCAAAAGCUUAUGGCAUGAUUCUGGAUUAUUUGGAACUGUUUUCAGUAUACAUGAAGCAAGGUUAUCGGGUGGAUUAUGGUUUGAGAAACUGCUGCAAGGCUACCGUGUUGCGUUGAUGUGGAUAUGGAGCGGAGGUAUUUGCUACGAAUAUUGCCAUUACGUCUUGCUCAUCACUAAUACAAACUGCUGCAAUCAUGUAGCACAUUGGACACUCACCUUACAAAUGUUGCAGGCCUGAGCCGUAUGAUGCAGGUUGCUCUUGUGUUAAUCACCUCUGAUUGGAAUUCCGUCUUUGCGAACUGAGCCGUUUCUUUAUUUGAACAAGGACUGAUGUGUUCUCGUCUCUGCUUUUUCUGUUUUGAAUUGUGCAGCAAAUUUUGGAUCUGACAUCUGUGUGAUUUGAAAUGAAUGUAUAUGAAACUGUUACAGGGGCUGCAGGUAUGGUUUACUGAAUCGGUGCAGCGUUGAUUUAGGCAUGAAUCUGCUGUGUAAGCUUCAGUUCUUUCCCUUUUAAAACUUUUUUUUUUCGAAUUUAUUGUUUGAACUGAUAUGUGAGGUAAUUCACUGCCCUGUUGCUGUUCCGUUUCGGUAUGAUCUGAAGUAGCCUUGAAAUUCACUUAUUGUUGAUGCCGUUUUGGUUUUGAAGUGUAGAACUUCUUUUGUUAUGGACUGGCGGUUUGGUUUUCUUCUUGGAUUUGUAUGAAAUGUGCAUUGAAUCUUUUGAUGGGAGAUUCCUUUGUGUGUAGGAGUUAUUAUACAAUUUUAAGGGAUUAUGAAUGGUAUUGGUGUAUGAAUGUAUGGUGGGUGUAUGGGCUGACUUGUGUAUUUCUGUGCUAAUUAUUCUUCCUUUUUGUUUCACUUGAUGUAUGAUGGCAAAAUCAAUGGAGCAUUUUCGAAACCUUGACGUGGGGAAACAAACUUGGAAUGACAAUGAAGUGAAGAGGAACAUGUCUUUAAGCUGCUGAAUUAGAGAGGAACAUGCCUUAGGAUAGAUUGAGGAAACCAAAGUCAAUGUUCAACUGUGUCAAAAUCUAAGUUUUUUUCAUGUAAUUUCAAUUCUGAUUUUUUUGUAAUGGGCUUUCUGAUGUUUGUAAGCAAUUCGACCUCCAGAAUGAAAUUUACCCAUUUGAAUGUGUC
This is a long non-coding RNA of Vicia villosa (hairy vetch), 2143 nucleotides long. RefSeq lists it as uncharacterized. The transcript has 4 exons. NCBI's taxonomy places the organism in Eukaryota, Viridiplantae, Streptophyta, Magnoliopsida, Fabales, Fabaceae. The record is from RefSeq and is a predicted model, not a curated record.